RNAcentral lists this ribosomal RNA (443 nucleotides) under uncultured bacterium. RNAcentral describes it as "bacterial SSU rRNA". It matches the Rfam family "Bacterial small subunit ribosomal RNA", at positions 338 to 795 of the family's 1533-position model. The record is from RNAcentral.
CCUACGGGAGGCAGCAGUGGGGAAUAUUGCACAAUGGGGGAAACCCUGAUGCAGCGACGCCGCGUGAAGGAAGAAGGUCUUCGGAUCGUAAACUUCUAUCAGCAGGGACGAAGGAAGUGACGGUACCUGACUAAGAAGCCCCGGCUAACUACGUGCAAGCAGCCGCGGUAGUACGUAGGGGGCAAGCAUUAACCGGGAUCACUGGGUGUAAAGGGUGCGUAGGGGGUAGGGUAAGUCAGAUGUGAAAGCCCGAGGCGCAACUCCGGGAUUGCAUUUGAAACUGUCUUACUAGAGUGCAGGAGAGGAAAGCGGAAUUCAUAGUGUAGCGGUGAAAUGCGUGGAUAUUAGGAAGAACACCAGUGACGAAGGCGGCUUUCUGGACUGUAACUGACGCUGAGGCACGAAAGCGUGGGGAGCGAACAGGAUUAGAUACCCUGGUAGUC